GGAGAAUGAUCGAGUGAGCUUGAAAAUAUGGGCGGAGCUUUCGGGCAGUAAUGAGGAGGGCGUAAGCCAGCUUUUCGAGCUUUGAAUAACGGGUCUCUGUGUUCCUCAAAGUUUGGCUGAUAUAGUAUAUCAGCUUUUGGACCCCAUCUUGUUCUUGGACCAGUACUGUGCUCAUCACUGUGGGAGAGAUAGAUAAGUAUAAAAAUAGUUCUUCAUCUAGAUCAAGCUUAUCAAGCAGUGGGGCCGAACUGAGAUAGCUUUUCAAGUUAGCGAAGGCUUUCUGGCACUCAUC
RNAcentral lists this long non-coding RNA (292 nucleotides) under Elaeis guineensis (African oil palm). RNAcentral describes it as "long non-coding RNA (EGUI_LNC074487)". The record is from RNAcentral. Lineage: Eukaryota; Viridiplantae; Streptophyta; Magnoliopsida; Arecales; Arecaceae.